This 638-nucleotide ribosomal RNA is filed under the name uncultured bacterium. RNAcentral describes it as "bacterial SSU rRNA". It matches the Rfam family "Bacterial small subunit ribosomal RNA", at positions 179 to 829 of the family's 1533-position model. The record is from RNAcentral.
AUAGGGGUCGCAUGAUCUUUAUGCCAAAGAUUUAUCGCUUCAAGAUGGCCUCGCGUCUGAUUAGCUAGUUGGCGGGGUAACGGCCCACCAAGGCGACGAUCAGUAGCCGGACUGAGAGGUUGAACGGCCACAUUGGGACUGAGAUACGGCCCAGACUCCUACGGGAGGCAGCAGUGGGGAAAUAUUGGGCAAAUGGGCGCAAGCCUGACCCAGCAACGCCCGCGUGAAGGAAGAAAGGCUUUUCGGGUUGUAAACUUCUUUUAAGAGGGAAGAGCAGAAGACGGUACCUCUAGAAUAAGCCACGGCUAACUACGUGCCAGCAGCCGCGGUAAUACGUAGGUGGCAAGCGUUGUCCGGAUUUACUGGGUGUAAAGGGCGUGCAGCCGGGUCUGCAAGUCAGAUGUGAAAUCCAUGGGCUCAACCCAUGAACUGCAUUUGAAACUGUAGAUCUUGAGUGUCGGAGGGGCAAUCGGAAUUCCUAGUGUAGCGGUGAAAUGCGUAGAUAUUAGGAGGAACACCAGUGGCGAAGGCGGAUUGCUGGACGAUAACUGACGGUGAGGCGCGAAAGUGUGGGGAGCAAACAGGAUUAGAUACCCUGGUAGUCCACACUGUAAACGAUGAAUACUAGGUGUGCGGGG